RNAcentral lists this unclassified non-coding RNA (189 nucleotides) under uncultured fungus. RNAcentral's name for it is "sequence contains ITS1". Lineage: Eukaryota; Fungi. The record is from RNAcentral.
CCGAAUCUUGCCUGGUCGAAGGACCGGCAGACCCACACCUGUGAACUGACCUACGUGCUUGGCAGCAGGGGCCCCGAGCUCCGGGCCGGCGGGUUGCGCAUCUCCGUGCGUUGGCCCGACGGCCAUGCUGCCGCGUUAACUUACACUUCUCGACUGACCAAAACCUCGUCCUCGGAACGAAAAACCAAA